ACCUCCGUAGCUUAGUGGUCAGAGCAUUGCACCGGCAUCGCAAAGGCGUAGGUUCAAUUCCUGCCGGAGGAC
Paramuricea clavata is the source of this 72-nucleotide non-coding RNA. The record is from the annotation of a GenBank genome assembly. NCBI's taxonomy places the organism in Eukaryota, Metazoa, Cnidaria, Anthozoa, Malacalcyonacea, Plexauridae.